This 427-nucleotide ribosomal RNA is filed under the name uncultured bacterium. RNAcentral describes it as "bacterial SSU rRNA". It matches the Rfam family "Bacterial small subunit ribosomal RNA", at positions 355 to 775 of the family's 1533-position model. The record is from RNAcentral.
UGGGGAAUUGUUCACAAUGGGCGCAAGCCUGAUGACGCAACGCCGCGUGGAGGAUGAAGGUCUUCGGAUUGUAAACUCCUGUUGCUCGGGACGAAAUGCUCCAACCUAAUACGUUGGAGUUUGACGGUACCGAGUGAGGAAGCCCCGGCUAACUCUGUGCCAGCAGCCGCGGUAAUACAGAGGGGGCAAGCGUUGUUCGGAAUUACUGGGCGUAAAGGGCGCGUAGGCGGCCUGUUAAGUCGAACGUGAAAUCCCCGGGCUCAACCCGGGAACUGCGUCCGAAACUGGCAGGCUCGAAUUCGGGAGAGGGAUGCGGAAUUCCAGGUGUAGCGGUGAAAUGCGUAGAUAUCUGGAGGAACAUCGGUGGCGAAGGCGGCAUCCUGGACCGAUAUUGACGCUGAGGCGCGAAAGCCAGGGGAGCAAACGG